Molecule: ribosomal RNA, 620 nt
Filed under: uncultured Verrucomicrobiota bacterium
Lineage: Bacteria; Pseudomonadati; Verrucomicrobiota
Description: uncultured Verrucomicrobia bacterium partial 16S ribosomal RNA
Source: RNAcentral
GGCCCCCGUCAAUUCCUUUAUGUUUUACUCUUGCGAGCAUACUCCACAGGCGGAAUACUUAUUGCGUUAACUGCAGCACUGAGUUUCCCCAACACUUAGUAUUCAUCGUUUACGGCGUGGACUACUAGGGUAUCUAAUCCUAUUUGCUCCCCACGCUUUCGUGCAUCAGCGUCAGUUGCAGGCCAGGCAGCCGCCUUCGCCACUGGUGUUCCUCCAUAUAUCUACGCAUUUUACCGCUACACAUGGAAUUCCACUGCCCUCUCCUGUACUCUAGCUAGCCAGUAUCUAUGGCUGUAUGGGGUUGAGCCCCACGCUUUCACCAUAAACUUAACUAACCGCCUACGCACCCUUUACGCCCAAUAAUUCCGGAUAACGCUUGCCACCUACGUAUUACCGCGGCUGCUGGCACGUAGUUAGCCGUGGCUUUCUGGUAAGGUACCGUCACUCCUGGAUUCUCUCCAAGACGUUCUUCCCUUACAACAGAGCUUUACAAUCCGAAAACCUUCAUCACUCACGCGGCGUUGCUCGGUCAGGCUUGCGCCCAUUGCCGAAAAUUCCCUACUGCUGCCUCCCGUAGGAGUUUGGGCCGUGUCUCAGUCCCAAUGUGGCCGUUCACCCUC